ACGAGAAAGUGGAGCAAUCCAUGAGUAAAGUGGCGACCGGGUGAGUAACACGUGACUAACCUACCUUCUAGUGGGGGAUAACCUCGGGAAACCGAGGCUAAUACCGCAUAACAUCGCAAGAUCAAAGCAGCAAUGCGCUGGAAGAGGGGGUCGCGGCUGAUUAGCUAGUUGGCGGGGUAACGGCCCACCAAGGCGAAGAUCGGUAUCCGGCCUGAGAGGGCGCACGGACACACUGGAACUGAAACACGGUCCAGACUCCUACGGGAGGCAGCAGUGGGGAAUUUUGCACAAUGGAGGAAACUCUGAUGCAGCGACGCCGCGUGAGCGAUGAAGCCCUUCGGGGUGUAAAGCUCUUUCGACGGGAACGAUAAUGACGGUACCCGGAGAAGAAGCUGCGGCUAACUACGUGCCAGCAGCCGCGGUAAUACGUAGGCAGCGAGCGUUGUUCGGAAUUACUGGGCGUAAAGAGUGUGUAGGCGGUGUUCUAAGUCUGGUGUGAAAUCUCCCGGCUCAACUGGGAGGGUGCGCUAGAGACUGGAAAUGCUUGAGUAUGGGAGAGGUAAGCGGAAUUCCUGGUGUAGCGGUGAAAUGCGUAGAUAUCAGGAGGAACACCUGUGGUGUAGACAGCUUACUGGACCAUGACUGACGCUGAGACACGAAAGCGUGGGUAGCAAACAGGAU
RNAcentral lists this ribosomal RNA (681 nucleotides) under uncultured bacterium. RNAcentral describes it as "bacterial SSU rRNA". It matches the Rfam family "Bacterial small subunit ribosomal RNA", at positions 66 to 778 of the family's 1533-position model. The record is from RNAcentral.